This 443-nucleotide ribosomal RNA is filed under the name uncultured bacterium. RNAcentral's name for it is "partial 16S ribosomal RNA". It matches the Rfam family "Bacterial small subunit ribosomal RNA", at positions 338 to 795 of the family's 1533-position model. The record is from RNAcentral.
CCUACGGGAGGCAGCAGUGGGGAAUAUUGGGCAAUGGGCGCAAGUCUGACCCAGCAACGCCGCGUGAAGGAUGAAGGCCUUCGGGUUGUAAACUUCUUUUCUCAGGGACGAAGCAAGUGACGGUACCUGAGUAAUAAGCCACGGCUAACUACGUGCCAGCAGCCGCGGUAAUCCGUAGGUGGCAAGCGUUAUCCGGAUUUACUGGGUGUAAGGGGUGUGUAGGCGGGACUGCAAGUCAGCUGUGAAAUCCAUGGGCUCAACCUGUGGCCUGCAUUUGAAACUGUAGUUCUUGAGUACUGGAGAGGCAGACGGAAUUCGUAGUGUAGCGGUGAAAUGCGUAGAUAUUAGGAGGAACACCAGUGGCGAAGGCGGUUUGCUGGACAGCAACUGACGCUGAGGCGCGAAAGCGUGGGGAGCAAACAGGAUUAGAUACCCCAGUAGUC